AUUGAACGCUGGCGGCAUGCCUUACACAUGCAAGUCGAACGGCAGCACGGGAGCAAUCCUGGUGGCGAGUGGCGAACGGGUGAGUAAUAUAUCGGAACGUGCCCAGUCGUGGGGGAUAACGUAGCGAAAGCUACGCUAAUACCGCAUACGAUCUACGGAUGAAAGCGGGGGAUCGCAAGACCUCGCGCGAUUGGAGCGGCCGAUAUCAGAUUAGCUAGUUGGUGGGGUAAAAGCUCACCAAGGCGACGAUCUGUAGCUGGUCUGAGAGGACGACCAGCCACACUGGAACUGAGACACGGUCCAGACUCCUACGGGAGGCAGCAGUGGGGAAUUUUGGACAAUGGGCGCAAGCCUGAUCCAGCAAUGCCGCGUGCAGGAUGAAGGCCUUCGGGUUGUAACUAGCUUUGUUACGGAACGAAACGGUAGAGCUCUAAUAAGACUUGCUAAUGACGGUACCGUAACGAAUAAGACACCGGACUAACU
RNAcentral lists this ribosomal RNA (483 nucleotides) under uncultured bacterium. Its description in RNAcentral is "bacterial SSU rRNA". It matches the Rfam family "Bacterial small subunit ribosomal RNA", at positions 30 to 502 of the family's 1533-position model. The record is from RNAcentral.